CCUACGGGUGGCAGCAGUGAGGAAUAUUGGUCAAUGGCCGGGAGGCUGAACCAGCCAAGUCGCGUGAGGGAAGACGGCCCUACGGGUUGUAAACCUCUUUUGUCAGGGAGCAAGAAGCAGGUCGGGUCCUGCUGCGAGAGUACCUGAAGAAAAAGCAUCGGCUAACUCCGUGCCAGCAGCCGCGGUAAUACGGAGGAUCCGAGCGUUAUCCGGAUUUAUUGGGUUUAAAGGGAGCGUAGUGGGGUGGUUAAGUCAGUGGUGAAAGUUUGCGGCUAAAACGUAAAAAUGCAAUUGAUACUGGCAGGCGUGAGUACGGGUGAGGUAGGCGGAAUUCGUGGUGUAGCGGUGAAAUGCAUAGAUAUCACGAAGAACUCCGAUUGCGAAGGCAGCUUACGAACCUGCCACUGACAUUGAUGCACGAAAGUGUGGGUAUCAAACAGGAUUAGAUACCCGAGUAGUC
Molecule: ribosomal RNA, 460 nt
Filed under: uncultured bacterium
Lineage: Bacteria
Description: partial 16S ribosomal RNA
Rfam family: Bacterial small subunit ribosomal RNA
Source: RNAcentral